UACGUAGGUGGCAAGCGUUAUCCGGAAUUAUUGGGCGUAAAGAGCGCGCAGGUGGUUAAUUAAGUCUGAUGUGAAAGCCACGGCUUAACCGUGGAGGGUCAUUGGAAACUGGUUGACUUGAGUGCAGAAGAGGGAAGUGGAAUUCCAUGUGUAGCGGUGAAAUGCGUAGAGAUAUGGAGGAACACCAGUGGCGAAGGCGGCUUCCUGGUCUGCAACUGACACUGAGGCGCGAAAGCGUGGGGAGCAAACAGG
This 252-nucleotide ribosomal RNA is filed under the name uncultured bacterium. Its description in RNAcentral is "partial 16S ribosomal RNA". It matches the Rfam family "Bacterial small subunit ribosomal RNA", at positions 524 to 776 of the family's 1533-position model. The record is from RNAcentral.